UACGUAGGGUGCGAGCGUUGUCCGGAAUUAUUGGGCGUAAAGGGCUCGUAGGCGGUUUGUCGCGUCGGGAGUGAAAACCCAGGGCUUAACCCUGGGCUGGCUUCCGAUACGGGCAGACUAGAGGUAUGCAGGGGAGAACGGAAUUCCUGGUGUAGCGGUGAAAUGCGCAGAUAUCAGGAGGAACACCGGUGGCGAAGGCGGGUCUCUGGGCCGAAACUGACGCUGAGGAGCGAAAGCGUGGGGAGCGAACAGG
RNAcentral lists this ribosomal RNA (253 nucleotides) under uncultured bacterium. RNAcentral describes it as "partial 16S ribosomal RNA". It matches the Rfam family "Bacterial small subunit ribosomal RNA", at positions 524 to 776 of the family's 1533-position model. The record is from RNAcentral.